UGGGGUAUAUUGCACAAUGGGCGCAAGCCUGAUGCAGCAACGCUGCGUGAACGAUGAAGGUCUUCGGAUCGUAAAGUUCCGUUGCAGGGGAAGAUAAUGACGGUACCCUGUGAGGAAGCCCCGGCUAACUACGUGCCAGCAGCCGCGGUAAUACGUAGGGGGCUAGCGUUAUCCGGAUUUACUGGGCGUAAAGAGUGCGUAGGUGGUCUUUCAAGUCGGUGGUUAAAGGCUACGGCUCAACCGUAGUUAGCCUCCGAAACUGGAAGACUUGAGUGCAGGAGAGGAAAGUGGAAUGCCCAGUGUAGCGGUGAAAGGCGUAGGUAUUGGGAGGAAAACCAGUAGCGAAGGAGGCUAUCAGGACUGCAACUGACACUGAGGCACGAAAGAGUGGGUAGCAAACAGG
Molecule: ribosomal RNA, 403 nt
Filed under: Verrucomicrobiota bacterium
Lineage: Bacteria; Pseudomonadati; Verrucomicrobiota
Description: Verrucomicrobia bacterium partial 16S ribosomal RNA
Rfam family: Bacterial small subunit ribosomal RNA
Source: RNAcentral